CCUACGGGGGGCAGCAGUGGGGGAUAUUGCACAAUGGGGGGAACCCUGAUGCAGCGACGCCGCGUGGGUGAAGAAGCGCCUCGUCGCGUAAAGCCCUGUCAGCAGGGAAGAAAAUGACGGUACCUGAAGAAGAAGCCCCGGCUAACUACGUGCCAGCAGCCGCGGUAAUACGUAGGGGGCAAGCGUUAUCCGGAUUUACUGGGUGUAAAGGGGGCGCAGACGGCGAUGCAAGCCAGGAGUGAAAGCCCGGGGCCCAACCCCGGGACUGCUCUUGGAACUGCGUGGCUAGAGUGCAGGCGGGGCAG
This 305-nucleotide ribosomal RNA is filed under the name uncultured bacterium. Its description in RNAcentral is "partial 16S ribosomal RNA". It matches the Rfam family "Bacterial small subunit ribosomal RNA", at positions 338 to 660 of the family's 1533-position model. The record is from RNAcentral.